UACGAAGGGGGCUAGCGUUGUUCGGAAUUACUGGGCGUAAAGCGCUCGCAGGCGGAUCGAUAAGUCAGGGGUGAAAUCCCGGGGCUCAACCUCGGAAUUGCCUUUGAUACUGUCAAUCUCGAGUCCGGGAGAGGUGAGUGGAAUUCCUAGUGUAGAGGUGAAAUUCGUAGAUAUUAGGAAGAACACCGGUGGCGAAGGCGGUUCUCUGGGCCUUACCUGACGCUGAGGAGCGAAAGCGUGGGGAGCGAACAGG
Molecule: ribosomal RNA, 253 nt
Filed under: uncultured bacterium
Lineage: Bacteria
Description: partial 16S ribosomal RNA
Rfam family: Bacterial small subunit ribosomal RNA
Source: RNAcentral